Molecule: long non-coding RNA, 1038 nt
Organism: Acinonyx jubatus (cheetah)
Lineage: Eukaryota; Metazoa; Chordata; Mammalia; Carnivora; Felidae
Exons: 3
Source: RefSeq, a predicted model, not a curated record
AUGACCCCCUCCCCAUUGUUACUGUCUUCUCUGUGCCCCAGAGGAGAUGCCAGAAACUACACUGCUUAGAAUCACCUUCCCCAUAUGGCUCCUGGCUAGGGUUUGUGGUGCUCUCAAGAGAUGUGAAAGGUGAAAGACAAAGAGAUCUUCAUUCUUUGGCAGCCAUGUUGUAGGGAGAUCAAACAGCAAAAGAGCAGAAGCGCUUUGGAAGCACUUCUGGAAAUCAUCAGCAAUAGCGUCUGAAGAUAUAAUGGAAGAAAAUGAAGAUGUAUAGAAAAGCAAUUAUGUGUGUUCACAAAAGUGAAGGAUCUUUGUGGUACAGUGGAAAGAACAUCAGAGAAUAUAGACGCUUGUUUGUGUUCUGUCACUAGCCAGAUGCCCCUAGAAAUAUUUUUGAACAGUCUUUAAGUUCUGCAUUUUAAAUUGGAAACGUUUCACUCUAAAAAAAGGCUAUGGAACAUGAGAAAUUGCUGUACAGUAAGUAUCCACCUUGCUAUAAUUCCCUUGGCUAAGGUACAAAUCCUGUUCUCUUGUAGAGUGCGUGGGCUCACAUCUCGACAAUGCCAGGAGACUUCUGGAACCUGAGGGGCGUUCCUGGAGGCAAAGCCCAGAGAAUUGCAGGGGUCCACUAAGACCGCAGCCCCGGGAGCCUCUGACACCAGCCCUCACUAGUCCUCCAACAGUUUGUCAAAAUUGCCACUUAAGUGUCCUCACUAUUGUUGGAUCCAGCGGCCUCUGCUCCAGGGACCUGCAUUCGAAGCUCUUUGGAUAUUGAGGCUGGACCUAGAAGACUAUCAUGCCCUCCCUUAAAAACGAACAGUGUGGUAAAGUGCAUUCUCAAAGGAAAGUAAAUAUAUUGGUCCCUCCACCUCACUGAGUGUUGAUAUCUUGUUUUAUUGUAAUUUUAUGUUAAAACAGAAACAGAAAUUUAGACCUAAAUUGCAUGGGUGUACAGCUCCUAACCAGCUAUGGAAAUACGGUGCAUUUGUAAAUUAAAUUAAAAUUCCUGCAAAUAUUCUAAAACUUUAACCAACACUA